GCCCGGCUAGCUCAGUCGGUAGAGCAUGAGACUCUUUAUCUCAGGGUCGUGGGUUUGAGCCCCACGUUGGGCG
RNAcentral lists this transfer RNA (73 nucleotides) under Danio rerio (zebrafish). RNAcentral describes it as "tRNA-Lys (CTT) (tRNA-Lys-CTT-98-1)". It matches the Rfam family "tRNA". Rfam says of the family: Transfer RNA (tRNA) molecules are approximately 80 nucleotides in length. Their secondary structure includes four short double-helical elements and three loops (D, anti-codon, and T loops). Lineage: Eukaryota; Metazoa; Chordata; Actinopteri; Cypriniformes; Danionidae. The record is from Rfam by way of RNAcentral.